RNAcentral lists this ribosomal RNA (417 nucleotides) under Triticum aestivum (bread wheat). RNAcentral describes it as "partial small subunit ribosomal RNA". The record is from RNAcentral. Lineage: Eukaryota; Viridiplantae; Streptophyta; Magnoliopsida; Poales; Poaceae.
AUGUAUGAAAGAGAUCGAAUCAGAUUUGAUUAUAUAAACCAAAAAAAUUGGCAAAGCGAUGUGUUAUGCAAAAACAUGCUAAGGUUUGAAAGAGAUGCAUUCUUUCGCUUGUGUGGCAUAUUGAGGGAUCGCAAUUUGCUAGAAGACAGUCCACAUCUUAGUGUGGAACAACAAUUGGAAACCGGUUUGGAGACGAUUGGGCAUAACCUUUGGAAUAGGGUUGUUUCAGCCAAUUUUGGUAGAUCAUAUGGCACAACAAGCAUCUAUUUUAGAAAGGCUCUUCAUGCCAUAGGCGAGCUUCGUAAUGGUUAUAUAAGGACACCAUCAUUGGAAACCCCCGUAAAAAUUGCAAGAAAUCAUCGAUUUGACCCAUAUUUUAAGGAUUGUAUUGGAGCUAUCGAUGGUACACAUGUGUGA